This 589-nucleotide long non-coding RNA is filed under the name Ananas comosus (pineapple). Its description in RNAcentral is "long non-coding RNA (ACOM_LNC043469)". Lineage: Eukaryota; Viridiplantae; Streptophyta; Magnoliopsida; Poales; Bromeliaceae. The record is from RNAcentral.
GAACGGACGCUUCGGUAGCUGGCGUAAUCCGAGGCGCAACUCCCGCUACAAUCAAUUUCGAAUUCUUUGUACGGUUCUGUCUCAACUGUUCAUUCUUUUUUUACGGCCACGAUCUCGCCAUCAAUUUUUGUCUUAUAUGCGACAUUAAUUAGGUCAUCUUAAUUACCACCGUUUCUUCAUCAUUAUCGCCGAUCUCGGGAAACGAUUUUGACGCGACGUCUCCUUUUCUUCUUCGCCAAGCUCCAUCUUCUCUAGUUGCUUUUUAACUCAGGCAUCGUCUUCUUCGCCUUCUUUUUACUUUUCCUCAUUUUCUCCGAUCUCCAUCUCUUAUCUACAGCUUGGCCCACUUCCUUUUUCUUUUCGAUCCUUAGGAUUUUUCUUCACUCUUUAGCAAUGGUGCCGCUUCCGCCUCUUCCUUCUUCUUCGUCCUUAGAUUAUAACAUACUUAGACAGUUCGUCGAAUCGGACCCUUCUCGAUUCAUUUUAGGUCUUUCUUUCACAGACGAACUGACCCCUGACAAUUUCUUAUUUUUCAGUGAUGGUCUUCCAUUGAUAGCCAAAACCAUCCAUCUCCAUUCUUGGUACUCAU